GACGAACGCUGGCGGCGUGCUUAACACAUGCAAGUCGAACGGAAAGGCCCUGCUUUUGUGGGGUGCUCGAGUGGCGAACGGGUGAGUAACACGUGAGUAACCUGCCCUUGACUUUGGGAUAACUUCAGGAAACUGGGGCUAAUACCGGAUAGGAGCUCCUGCUGCAUGGUGGGGGUUGGAAAGUUUCGGCGGUUGGGGAUGGACUCGCGGCUUAUCAGCUUGUUGGUGGGGUAGUGGCUUACCAAGGCUUUGACGGGUAGCCGGCCUGAGAGGGUGACCGGCCACAUUGGGCCUCAGGUACGACCCAGACGCCUACGGGAGGCAGCAGUGAGGACUAUUGCAAAAUGGGCCGAAGCCUGAGGCAGCAACGCCGCGUGCGGGAGGACGGCCUUCGGGUGGGAAACCGCUUUCGCCUGUGACGAAGCGUGAGUGACGGUAAUGGGGAAAGAAGCACCGGCUAACUACGU
RNAcentral lists this ribosomal RNA (467 nucleotides) under uncultured bacterium. Its description in RNAcentral is "partial 16S ribosomal RNA". It matches the Rfam family "Bacterial small subunit ribosomal RNA", at positions 28 to 506 of the family's 1533-position model. The record is from RNAcentral.